GGGAGCGACUUGGCUUCGACAGGAGUAAGUCUGCUUAGAUGGCAUGUCGCUUUGGGUAAAGCGUAAAAAGCCCAAAUAAAAUUAAACGCAAACAACGUUAAAUUCGCUCCUGCUUACGCUAAAGCUGCGUAAGUUCAGUUGAGCCUGAAAUUUAAGUCAUACUAUCUAGCUUAAUUUUCGGUCAUUUUUGAUAGUGUAGCCUUGCGUUUGACAAGCGUUGAGGUGAAAUAAAGUCUUAGCCUUGCUUUUGAGUUUUGGAAGAUGAGCGAAGUAGGGUGAAGUAGUCAUCUUUGCUAAGCAUGUAGAGAUCUUUGUGGGAUUAUUUUUGGACAGGGGUUCGAUUCCCCUCGCUUCCACCA
This 359-nucleotide transfer-messenger RNA is filed under the name Campylobacter jejuni. It matches the Rfam family "transfer-messenger RNA". Rfam says of the family: Bacterial tmRNA, also known as 10Sa RNA or SsrA, is named for its dual tRNA and mRNA-like properties. Its role is to liberate the mRNA from a stalled ribosome. To accomplish this part of the tmRNA is used as a reading frame that ends in a translation stop signal. RNAcentral also lists the same sequence under 2 other names. Lineage: Bacteria; Pseudomonadati; Campylobacterota; Epsilonproteobacteria; Campylobacterales; Campylobacteraceae. The record is from RNAcentral.